Molecule: long non-coding RNA, 778 nt
Organism: Alligator mississippiensis (American alligator)
Lineage: Eukaryota; Metazoa; Chordata; Crocodylia; Alligatoridae
Exons: 2
Source: RefSeq, a predicted model, not a curated record
GUCCCUGUCUAUGAGACCAGUGGGCCAGGCAGCCUCAAUGAUACCUCACUCCAUUGUAAGGUCAUAUCUAUACCCACUGGUAACAUCACAAAAGCUCCUUGGUGUCAGCCACUGCUGGCUCAGGAGAGACAGUCGCAGCUGGCUCAGAAGGACUAAGCAGCAGCAUCCCCCACCACAUCUCAAGAAAGAGGGGACAUCUCUUAGAAGCAGUCACAAGAUGGGAAAUUACAACUCCCGAAAGAAAGUUAAAACAAUAAAGCAAGAUAAGAAGGAGAAGUGCCCAGAUCAGGAGAAGGACAAGGAGAAAUGGAGACAUGUUAUCUACCUGAAAAAGAACAAGUCCACAGUCAAAGUGCUGUUGCUGCCUCCUCUUGGGAAGCUGACUCAUGGCCCCAAGACACUCUCUCUGAUUGCCCCUCCCGGAAGCAAUGUUAACAUCUUCAACAGAUCAGAACUAGGAAGCUAUAGAUGAGAGGUGGCAAGGUCAUCACCCCAGACCCCUUCAUCAACACAACAGGGAGCUGGAGAUGGUGAAAUCCAGAAGAUAAGGAGGGUCCUGACUUUAUUUUUUCUGGUGGAGGUGGAGAAAGCAGAGGAUGGAGAUUCCAAAAAUGGGGUGAAGUUCUGGUACACUGUACACCACGAGUCUGCAAGUGGGCAGCUGUAAUGUGGGCAGUUGUCAUUUGAGGUCAACUGCUGUCAACAAUGCAACGGGCCAGCAGAAAACAAGAAAGUCCUUGAAAGACGGAAAAUAAACCAACUCGAGCAUCUCAAAUAA